Non-coding RNA from Podospora conica, 128 nucleotides. The record is from the annotation of a GenBank genome assembly. NCBI's taxonomy places the organism in Eukaryota, Fungi, Ascomycota, Sordariomycetes, Sordariales, Podosporaceae.
GGCAACUUGGCCGAGCGGUCUAAGGCGCCACGUUAAGGAACCAUCCUUGAUUUCGAUCUUGAUUCACAGCACUGUGAUGUUAGAUUCCGUGGUCCGAAAGGGCGUGAGUUCGAAUCUCACAGUUGUCA